Molecule: ribosomal RNA, 253 nt
Filed under: uncultured bacterium
Lineage: Bacteria
Description: partial 16S ribosomal RNA
Rfam family: Bacterial small subunit ribosomal RNA
Source: RNAcentral
UACGUAGGGGGCGAGCGUUGUCCGGAUUCAUUGGGCGUAAAGCGCGCGCAGGCGGUCUUCCAAGUCAGUGGUGAAAGCCCGGAGCUCAACUCCGGAACUGCCAUUGAAACUGUAAGACUUGAGGACGAGAGAGGUGAGUGGAAUUCCCAGUGUAGAGGUGAAAUUCGUAGAUAUUGGGAAGAACACCAGUGGCGAAGGCGGCUCACUGGCCCGAUACUGACGCUGAGGCACGAAAGCGUGGGGAGCAAACAGG